AACGAACGCUGGCGGCAGGCUUAACACAUGCAAGUCGAGCGCAUCCUUCGGGGUGAGCGGCAGACGGGUGAGUAACGCGUGGGAACGUACCCUUUCCUACGGAAUAGCUCCGGGAAACUGGAAUUAAUACCGUAUACGCCCUUAGGGGAAAAGAUUUAUCGGGGAAGGAUCGGCCCGCGUUGGAUUAGCUAGUUGGUGGGGUAAAGGCCUACCAAGGCGACGAUCCAUAGCUGGUCUGAGAGGAUGAUCAGCCACAUUGGGACUGAGACACGGCCCAAACUCCUACGGGAGGCAGCAGUGGGGAAUAUUGGACAAUGGGCGCAAGCCUGAUCCAGCCAUGCCGCGUGAGUGAUGAAGGCCUUAGGGUUGUAAAGCUCUUUCAGUAGGGAAGAUAAUGACGGUACCUACAGAAAAAGCCCCGGCUAACUUCGUGCCAGCAGCCGCGGUAA
Molecule: ribosomal RNA, 449 nt
Filed under: uncultured bacterium
Lineage: Bacteria
Description: partial 16S ribosomal RNA
Rfam family: Bacterial small subunit ribosomal RNA
Source: RNAcentral